This 484-nucleotide ribosomal RNA is filed under the name uncultured bacterium. Its description in RNAcentral is "partial 16S ribosomal RNA". It matches the Rfam family "Bacterial small subunit ribosomal RNA", at positions 30 to 507 of the family's 1533-position model. The record is from RNAcentral.
AUUGAACGCUGGCGGCAGGCCUAACACAUGCAAGUCGAGCGGAUGAAGGGAGCUUGCUCCUGGAUUCAGCGGCGGACGGGUGAGUAAUGCCUAGGAAUCUGCCCGGUAGUGGGGGAUAACGUCCGGAAACGGGCGCUAAUACCGCAUACGUUCUGAGGGAGAAAGUGGGGGAUCUUCGGACCUCACGCUAUCAGAUGAGCCUAGGUCGGAUUAGCUAGUUGGUGGGGUAAAGGCUUACCAAGGCGACGAUCCGUAACUGGUCUGCGAGGAUGAUCAGUCACACUGGAACUGAGACACGGUCCAGACUCCUACGGGAGGCAGCAGUGGGGAAUAUUGGACAAUGGGCGAAAGCCUGAUCCAGCCAUGCCGCGUGUGUGAAGAAGGUCUUCGGAUUGUAAAGCACUUUAAGUUGGGAGGAAGGGCAGUAAAUUAAUACCUUGCUGUUUUGACGUUACCAACAGAAUAAGCACCGGCUAACUACGUG